GUGGGGAAUAUUGGACAAUGGGCGAAAGCCUGAUCCAGCCAUGCCGCGUGUGUGAAGAAGGUCUUCGGAUUGUAAAGCACUUUAAGUUGGGAGGAAGGGUAGUAACCUAAUACGUUGCUACUUUGACGUUACCGACAGAAUAAGCACCGGCUAACUUCGUGCCAGCAGCCGCGGUAAUACGAAGGGUGCAAGCGUUAAUCGGAAUUACUGGGCGUAAAGCGCGCGUAGGUGGUUCAGUAAGUUGGAAGUGAAAUCCCCGGGCUCAACCUGGGAACUGCGUUCAAAAAUGCUGAGCUAGAGUACGGUAGAGGGUGGUGGAAUUUCCUGUGUAGCGGUGAAAUGCGUAGAUAUAGGAAGGAACACCAGUGGCGAAGGCGACCACCUGGACUGAUACUGACACUGAGGUGCGAAAGCGUGGGGAGCAAACAGGAUUAGAAACCCGGGUAGUCC
This 450-nucleotide ribosomal RNA is filed under the name uncultured bacterium. RNAcentral's name for it is "partial 16S ribosomal RNA". It matches the Rfam family "Bacterial small subunit ribosomal RNA", at positions 354 to 796 of the family's 1533-position model. The record is from RNAcentral.